UUAUAAUGCAGUAGAUCUAGUAUUUGAAACGUCCUCUCUGGAGCAUGCUUGAAGAGGACACUUGACUCUGGAACUUGCUAUAUGUGGUCCCAAUUGUUUCCUGUUUCACGGCCAUUUUCAGCUGACCAAACAUAACUGAGGGUUAUUGUGACCAGCAGCAGUGUGACAAGGAGAAAUUUCAAAAAGAAAAUGAGACAUUUUUGAGAAGAAAAUGUGAGCUGAUGGAAACCUGAAUAAAAGGCAACCAUAAGUUUUUCCCCGGAAGAAA
Molecule: long non-coding RNA, 268 nt
Filed under: Struthio camelus australis
Lineage: Eukaryota; Metazoa; Chordata; Aves; Struthioniformes; Struthionidae
Description: lncRNA (ENSSCUG00000005536.1)
Source: RNAcentral